AUACUUAACUUUGCCGGGGAGAAACCGUGAUUAUGAAGGUGGUUUUCCCAGGUGAGGUUUAUCUGUUGCACUCUUGAUGUUCUGACGCCUGUGAUUUCCCCAAGUGUGGGAAACACAACUGCAUAAUUUGUGGUGGUGGGGCACUGCAUUUGUGUUCUUCCUGG
Small nuclear RNA from Talpa occidentalis (Iberian mole), 164 nucleotides. RefSeq annotates it as U1 spliceosomal RNA. The transcript has a single exon. The record is from RefSeq and is a predicted model, not a curated record. Lineage: Eukaryota; Metazoa; Chordata; Mammalia; Eulipotyphla; Talpidae.